AGUGAACGCUGGCGGUAGGCCUAACACAUGCAAGUCGAACGGCAGCACAGUAAGAGCUUGCUCUUACGGGUGGCGAGUGGCGGACGGGUGAGGAAUACAUCGGAAUCUACUUUUUCGUGGGGGAUAACGGAGGGAAACUUCCGCUAAUACCGCAUACGACCUACGGGUGAAAGCAGGGGAUCUUCGGGCCUUGCGCGAUUGAAUGAGCCGAUGUCGGAUUAGCUAGUUGGCGGGGUAAAGGCCCACCAAGGCGACGAUCCGUAGCUGGUCUGAGAGGAUGAUCAGCCACACUGGAACUGAGACACGGUCCAGACUCCUACGGGAGGCAGCAGUGGGGAAUAUUGGACAAUGGGCGCAAGCCUGAUCCAGCCAUGCCGCGUGGGUGAAGAAGGUCUUCGGGUUGUAAAGCCCUUUUGUUGGGAAAGAAAAGCAGCAGGUUAAUCCCCCGCUGUUCUGACGGUACCCAAUGAAUAAGCACCGGCUAACUUCGUG
RNAcentral lists this ribosomal RNA (492 nucleotides) under uncultured bacterium. Its description in RNAcentral is "partial 16S ribosomal RNA". It matches the Rfam family "Bacterial small subunit ribosomal RNA", at positions 29 to 507 of the family's 1533-position model. The record is from RNAcentral.